RNAcentral lists this ribosomal RNA (409 nucleotides) under Merizocera sp. 279 FL-2018. Its description in RNAcentral is "partial 16S ribosomal RNA". The record is from RNAcentral. Lineage: Eukaryota; Metazoa; Arthropoda; Arachnida; Araneae; Ochyroceratidae.
CCUGCUCAAUGUAAAAUAAAUAGCCGCAGUACCCUGUGCUAAGGUAGCAUAAUAAUUUGUCUUAUAAUUUAAGAAUAGAAUGAAAGGAAAAACGAAUCGUAAACUUUUUCACAAUUAAACAAUUAAUCUUAUAUAAAAGUAAAAAAGCCUUUAAUAAAAGAAAAGACGACAAGACCCUUUCGAACUUGACAAAAAUGUUAAGCUGGGGAGGCUAAAAAAAUAAAAACUUAUUAAAAAUAUAAAACUAACUUACAAAAUAAAAUAAAACAAGUUACCAAAGGGAUAACAGCACAAUAUAUUAUAAAAGAUCAAAUAAAAUAACAAAAUUGUGACCUCGAUGUUGAAUUAUUAAAACUAAUUUAAGCAAAAAUAAAUAAAGUAAGUCUGUUCGACUUUUAAAAUAAUACAU